UCUUCUUUUCUUGGUGGAGACUGGGCAUGUACUCCUGCUCCCCAUUAUGUAUGAGGCAGAAGGAAAGGGCCUUCGUAGCACCAUGUCUUCAGUGCCUGUGCCUGUGGCCUCCUGACCACCGGCUCUAUCCCUCAGGUCUAGGAUACCA
Molecule: small nucleolar RNA, 148 nt
Organism: Grammomys surdaster
Lineage: Eukaryota; Metazoa; Chordata; Mammalia; Rodentia; Muridae
Product: small nucleolar RNA SNORA57
Exons: 1
Source: RefSeq, a predicted model, not a curated record